RNAcentral lists this ribosomal RNA (483 nucleotides) under uncultured bacterium. Its description in RNAcentral is "partial 16S ribosomal RNA". It matches the Rfam family "Bacterial small subunit ribosomal RNA", at positions 28 to 523 of the family's 1533-position model. The record is from RNAcentral.
GACGAACGCUGGCGGCGUGCUUAACACAUGCAAGUCGAACGAUGAAGCCGGAGCUUGCUCCGGUGGAUUAGUGGCGAACGGGUGAGUAACACGUGAGCAAUCUGCCCUUGACUCUGGGAUAACUGCGGGAAACUGUAGCUAAUACCGGAUACGACACCUUGGGGCAUCCCAGGGUGUGGAAAGAAUUUCGGUCAAGGAUGAGCUCGCGGCCUAUCAGCUAGUUGGUGAGGUAAUGGCUCACCAAGGCGACGACGGGUAGCCGGCCUGAGAGGGUGACUGGCCACACUGGAACUGAGACACGGUCCAGACUCCUACGGGAGGCAGCAGUGGGGAACAUUGUACAAUGGGCGAAAGCCUGAUGCAGCAACGCCGCGUGAGGGAUGAAGGCCUUCGGGUUGUAAACCUCUUUUAGCAGGGAAGAAGCGAAAGUGACGGUACCUGCAGAAAAAGCACCGGCUAACUACGUGCCAGCAGCCGCCGUAA